CCAAUUGCGAAGGCAGCUUACUAAACCAAUACUGACGCUGAUGGACGAAAGCGUGGGGAGCGAACAGGAUUAGAUACCCUGGUAGUCCACGCCGUAAACGAUGAUUACUCGUUGCUAGCGAUAUACUGUUAGUGACCAAGCGAAAGUGUUAAGUAAUCCACCUGGGGAGUACGAUCGCAAGAUUGAAACUCAAAGGAAUUGACAGGGGCCCGCACAAGCAGUGGAGCAUGUGGUUUAAUUCGAUGAUACGCGAGGAACCUUACCAGGGCUUAAAUGUGCUAUGACCUCUCGGGAAACCGAGAUUCUCUUCGGAGCAAAGUACAAGGUGCUGCAUGGUUGUCGUCAGCUCGUGCCGUGAGGUGUCGGGUUAAGUCCCAUAACGAGCGCAACCCCUAUCUUUAGUUGCCAGCGAGUAAUGUCGGGGACUCUAAAGGAACUGCCCGCGUAAGCGGGGAGGAAGGUGGGGAUGACGUCAAAUCAUCACGGCCCUUACGUCCUGGGCUACACACGUGCUACAAUGGUGCAUACAGAGGGCAGCAACCUGGUGACAGGAAGCGAAUCUCGAAAGUGCAUCUCAGUUCGGAUUGAAGUCUGCAACUCGACUUCAUGAAGCCGGAAUUGCUAGUAAUCGCGCAUCAGCCAUGGCGCGGUGAAUACGUUCCCGGGCCUUGUACACACCGCCCGUCAAGCCAUGGAAGCUGGGAGUGCCUGAAGUCGGUAACCGCAAGGAGCUGCCUAGGGUAAAACUGGUGACUGGGGCUAAGUCGUAACAAGGUAACCGUA
This 783-nucleotide ribosomal RNA is filed under the name uncultured bacterium. RNAcentral's name for it is "bacterial SSU rRNA". It matches the Rfam family "Bacterial small subunit ribosomal RNA", at positions 708 to 1504 of the family's 1533-position model. The record is from RNAcentral.